Molecule: ribosomal RNA, 508 nt
Filed under: Penicillium chrysogenum
Lineage: Eukaryota; Fungi; Ascomycota; Eurotiomycetes; Eurotiales; Aspergillaceae
Description: eukaryotic LSU rRNA
Rfam family: 5.8S ribosomal RNA (bases 141-293)
Source: RNAcentral
UGUUUAUUUUACCUUGUUGCUUCGGCGGGCCCGCCUUAACUGGCCGCCGGGGGGCUUACGCCCCCGGGCCCGCGCCCGCCGAAGACACCCUCGAACUCUGUCUGAAGAUUGUAGUCUGAGUGAAAAUAUAAAUUAUUUAAAACUUUCAACAACGGAUCUCUUGGUUCCGGCAUCGAUGAAGAACGCAGCGAAAUGCGAUACGUAAUGUGAAUUGCAAAUUCAGUGAAUCAUCGAGUCUUUGAACGCACAUUGCGCCCCCUGGUAUUCCGGGGGGCAUGCCUGUCCGAGCGUCAUUGCUGCCCUCAAGCACGGCUUGUGUGUUGGGCCCCGUCCUCCGAUCCCGGGGGACGGGCCCGAAAGGCAGCGGCGGCACCGCGUCCGGUCCUCGAGCGUAUGGGGCUUUGUCACCCGCUCUGUAGGCCCGGCCGGCGCUUGCCGAUCAACCCAAAUUUUUAUCCAGGUUGACCUCGGAUCAGGUAGGGAUACCCGCUGAACUUAAGCAUAUCAA